UUUUACCUACGGGGGGCAGCAGUGGGGAAUUUUGCGCAAUGCUCGUAAGAGUGACGCAGCGACGCCGCGUGAAUGACGAAGGCCUUCGGGUCGUAAAGUUCUUUCGACAGGGAAGAAAAUGCCUAUAAGUAACUGUGUAUGUAUUGACGGUACCUGUAUAAGCAGCCCCGGCUAACUCCGUGCCAGCAGCCGCGGUAAUACGGAGGGGGCGAGCGUUGUUCGGAGUGACUGGGCGUAAAGAGCACGUAGGCGGUGUUGUAAGUCAUUAGUCAAAGACUAGAGCUCAACUUUAGGAAGGCUAGGGG
This 305-nucleotide ribosomal RNA is filed under the name uncultured bacterium. Its description in RNAcentral is "bacterial SSU rRNA". It matches the Rfam family "Bacterial small subunit ribosomal RNA", at positions 333 to 630 of the family's 1533-position model. The record is from RNAcentral.